Molecule: RNA transcript, 2821 nt
Organism: Betta splendens (Siamese fighting fish)
Lineage: Eukaryota; Metazoa; Chordata; Actinopteri; Anabantiformes; Osphronemidae
Gene name: zinc finger protein 354C-like
Exons: 7
Source: RefSeq, a predicted model, not a curated record
CCGCAAUUGGUCCAACGUGUGCUACCUACUGCGGGGCGUCUGUGUUUACGCACAGUGUUACGCCUCUGUUUUAGAGGCGAACGUGCGCACAUUGCUGGUUUGUUUUUCUUUUUAAUCUUGCUCGGAAUAUCUUUAAAGCCACAAUGGUGUCAAACUGCAUCGUACCAGGAUGCAAGGCAAGGGCUAAAAGAAAAGGUAGUGGUAUUAGCUAUUUUUGCUUGCCGAUAAAGGACGCUGUGCGCUGUAAAUUGUGGCUGAAGGCGGUAAACAAUCCAAUGUAUGAAGAGAACAGUUCGAUGGAGAAACUAAAAAACCUACGAGUUUGUAGCCUACACUUCAAACAAGAGGACGUUAAACGCAGUUUCGUCGUUGUAAAAACAAGUAAAAGUCGGGUUGCACUAAAAGAAACGGCCGUUCCUUUAAUAAACGUGGACGAAGAAGAACCGGCACCUGAUUUCUCGCACACGAAGCGAAGUAGGUUCGGAGCGUCACGUGCGUCCACUACAGCCAGUUCCACAGCGGCUUCAGCGGCGUCAGGUGUUGGAGCAGGACCGUCUUCCUCUCAAACCCAACUCCAAGCAAAACAAACGUCCAAAACAAAGGAGGUUGCCUGUCAGACAGAGGUGCCCCUGUGGUCUGAUUGGGCACAGUUCUGUCAGAGGUCAUUUGAGGCUCAGAUCAUGUGUAAAAGCACACAGACUACACUGUUAACCAGAGACAUUGGUGUAGGCACUGCCAGGGCUUGUCGACAAGCUUCUCAAGAAUCCACAACCAUUAAUGGAUCCUUUAAGAGGCAACGUUUGGAUUGGGAGGAAGAGGAUGACAAUCCUUUGGAGGGAUCUGAAUCUGAACUAGCAGCCAAUACAUACAAAAAAUGCUCAACGUCUGGUUUUAAAGCUGAUUUGAAGAAAGCUCUUCACGGCUCACCCAUCAUCUCGAACCACCAGUGUCUCCAGUGUGAGGACAGGAACCAGUGGAAAAGCCAGGUCAAUGGCAGCGUUCCAGCAACUUCAGACAAACACCUGACAGAUGACACAAAUUUAGCUUUCCAGGCAGCAUCAACAAAUAACAACCAUGGCAUCGUUUCUGAGAUCGUUGCAGUCAUUGAUGAGGAAAGCGAUGAAAUGAAUAAAACAGACGAAUCGGGUGAUGAAGACAAUAUGGAUUCAGAUGAGGAUUGGGAUUUAGAUCAGAAUUGGGAAUUAAUGGAUGCCACUGAGCUUGAGGAAGGAUACAGCGAGGAAAGUGACUAUGAACAUUCAGAUCUCAGGCGCAAUCAGCUCUGCCCAGAUUGUGGGGUGUUUUGCCUUAAAUUGUGGCGACACACCUGCGAGUACAAAAUUAAGCCCUAUUCUUGCAAUCUUUGUGGCAAGAGCUGUGUUAGCGAAGCUGCUCUAAACCUUCAUGACAAGAUUCACAGUGAAGACUAUCAACAUCGAUGCAAAUACUGCAAUGUUACAUUUAAAUCAAAGAGAGAGAAGAUCAUUCAUGAGAAGAUUCACGUAAACGAUAGAAAACCAUACAAGUGUUCUGAUUGUUCAGAAACAUUUUCCACACACAAAGGGCGCAGGAUACACCAGAACAAGCAUAGACGCCUCAGAGUAACGUGUGACAUCUGUGGGACCGUAUUCACAAAUAAUAGUGCCCUUCAAAGACACAUUCUUGUGCACACAGGAGAGAAGCCAUACAAGUGUUCAGUGUGCCAACAAAGCUUCAAACAGUCGAACCACCUGACGUCUCACAUGCGCCUGCACACUGGAGAGAGACCCUACAAGUGUCAGCACUGUGACAAGUGCUUCAAUCACAACGUGAGCUUGAAGAGUCACAUCCAACGCUACCACUCAUCAAAAUCUGGACAGAAACAGAAAAAGCCAGAUCAAAGGGCAAGUCACAGCUGUGACACGCUGGAAGAUGGGGACAGGAGAGCUACACACUCUGAGCCUGACAAUGGAGAUGAAGAACUGGAUACAGAGGAGGAAGAGGUGGUGGUGGCAAGGAAGAUGUAUAAGCGAAGAAAGAGAGGUACAGGUAGACCCAAAGGAAGACCAAAGAACUGUGCAUCUGGCAAUGUAGUUCUUACAGUUCAGGCAGAGGGCACAGGAACAGACAGUCAAAAUAAAAAACUACAAAUACAGAAAACAAAGAAAAAAACAACGCAGUACUGAAGAAAAUGAGAAUGAGCUCGGUGACAGCAACUGAGCCUCUAGAUCAGCACAGGAGGAAGAGAAAAACAGUGAACAGUGACCGAUUUUGGUCCAGAAGACACACAAAAAUGGUGUGAAGGCUAUAAAAUGAAUCUAUGGGAGGAAUACAGCAGCACUGUAGCACAGAUGCUUAAUAAACCUGGACUGAUCUCUAGAAAAUUGCUUAUUGUGAGACAAACUCCCAGGCAAAGACAUUCUGGAGCGUUCAUGAAACUAUGGGUCACGUUUACACACCUUGAGCAAGGUAAGCGUGUAUUUCCUCAUAUUUUCUUUUACAAUCUGUGAUUUUAUCCAAUUAAGAGAGAGUAGGAGAAAACCUGUCCAUUCUGAGACCCCGACCAACCGUGACUCACAAGAGGGGACUCCGCCCCCCCAACACCUGAAGCCCCUCCCCCCACGCUGAUGCCGAACCAAAACUGGACUUCCCAUCGUCCCCCUCACUCCCAGAAAAAAAAAGGGGAAAGGAGCAUGGCAGUCUCAUGGUCUCAUAGAAAGUGCACCGUUCUUGGGUGUUCUAACCCAAGCAAAAGCUUAUUUACCCUGCCAAAAGAUCAACACCUGAGGACUCUGUGGUUAGACUUUAUUUAUGACGGAGCGGCGCCAGCAACAACGCCUGU